Molecule: transfer RNA, 82 nt
Rfam family: tRNA
About the family: Transfer RNA (tRNA) molecules are approximately 80 nucleotides in length. Their secondary structure includes four short double-helical elements and three loops (D, anti-codon, and T loops). Further hydrogen bonds mediate the characteristic L-shaped molecular structure. tRNAs have two regions of fundamental functional importance: the anti-codon, which is responsible for specific mRNA codon recognition, and the 3' end, to which the tRNAs corresponding amino acid is attached (by aminoacyl-tRNA synthetases). tRNAs cope with the degeneracy of the genetic code in two manners: having more than one tRNA (with a specific anti-codon) for a particular amino acid; and 'wobble' base-pairing, i.e. permitting non-standard base-pairing at the 3rd anti-codon position.
Source: Rfam
GGCCUGGUGGCGAAAUGGUAUCGCGUCAGAUUUCGGUUCUUGAAUACUCUGAAGGUUGCGGGUUCGAGCCCCGUCUGGGUCG